RNAcentral lists this ribosomal RNA (433 nucleotides) under uncultured bacterium. RNAcentral's name for it is "partial 16S ribosomal RNA". It matches the Rfam family "Bacterial small subunit ribosomal RNA", at positions 29 to 507 of the family's 1533-position model. The record is from RNAcentral.
AACGAACGCUGGCUGCAUGCCUAAUACAUGCAAGUCGAACGAGAUCUUCGGAUCUAGUGGCGCACGGGUGCGUAACGCGUGGGAAUCUGCCCUUGGGUUCGGAAUAACGUCGGGAAACUGACGCUAAUACCGGAUGAUGACGUAAGUCCAAAGAUUUAUCGCCCAGGGAUGAGCCCGCGUAGGAUUAGCUAGUUGGUGGGGUAAAGGCCUACCAAGGCGACGAUCCUUAGCUGGUCUGAGAGGAUGAUCAGCCACACUGGGACUGAGACACGGCCCAGACUCCUACGGGAGGCAGCAGUAGGGAAUAUUGGACAAUGGGGGCAACCCUGAUCCAGCAAUGCCGCGUGAGUGAUGAAGGCCUUAGGGUUGUAAAGCUCUUUUACCCGGGAUGAUAAUGACAGUACCGGGAGAAUAAGCCCCGGCUAACUCCGUG